CAUUUCAUUGUAGUUCCUGCAAGAAAACACCAGCAUUUUCUUCCUCAAUUUUAACAUGUUGCACUGCUUAACGUUUUCUGAUGAGCAGUGUAGGCUAAAAACCUCAUGAAGGCGUAGUCAUUGUUGCGUGGGCAUCUUUUACUCAUACGGCUUUGUGAUCAAACUUUCUUUUUUCAAGAGGAAAGAGCCUUAAGUAGCAAUAAAGGAUCAGCAGCAGCAGCACCAAGGCAAAGAAGGCAUCCCCAGAGAUAGGAGGGAAUCUCCAGCUGCAGUUGAUCAGGAUGAGACAAUAGUAUUUGAUUGUGCUCCUGAAAAAUUUGCUGACCUAAGUUUGCCCAGGUGUUGUUUUAAAACAUGUUAAUUUUUAACAGCAAAUGUAAUGACAGUAGUAGUAUUAAAAUCUUAAUGUUGUAAAUAGCUAAUAAAACUGUUCUUGUAAAAAAAA
This is a long non-coding RNA of Sphaerodactylus townsendi, 445 nucleotides long. RefSeq lists it as uncharacterized. The record is from RefSeq and is a predicted model, not a curated record. Lineage: Eukaryota; Metazoa; Chordata; Lepidosauria; Squamata; Sphaerodactylidae. The transcript is spliced from 3 exons.